GAGGGUACGGCUCAGUGGUAGAGUGUGAGCCUAGCAUGCAUGAUGGUCCUGGGUUCAAUCCCCAGUCCCUCCA
Molecule: transfer RNA, 73 nt
Filed under: Camelus bactrianus (Bactrian camel)
Lineage: Eukaryota; Metazoa; Chordata; Mammalia; Artiodactyla; Camelidae
Also listed under: 2 other names
Rfam family: tRNA
About the family: Transfer RNA (tRNA) molecules are approximately 80 nucleotides in length. Their secondary structure includes four short double-helical elements and three loops (D, anti-codon, and T loops).
Source: Rfam by way of RNAcentral